AGCCUUUAGCCCUACUAGUAUUAAAGGUCUUGCCUGCCCAGUGACUCUUUAAACGGCCGCGGUAUCCUAACCGUGCAAAGGUAGCAUAAUCACUUGUCCCCUAAAUAGGGACUAGAAUGAACGGCUAAAUGAGGACAAAACUGUCUCUUGCAAGUUGGCCAAUGAAAUUGAUAUUCCAGUACAAAAGCUGGAAUAAACUCAUAAGACGAGAAGACCCUGUGGAGCUUUAAAACCAAACCCAUUAAAUAUGGUUCUUGAAUUUUUAGUUGGGGCGACUUUGGAGUAGAACAAAACCUCCAAGAAAACUUCUAUUAAGAUUAACACAUCAAAAUAAUAGUACAGACCCAGCAAUAUAUUCCCAUCUAUUGUCUGAUCAACGAACCAAGUUACCCCAGGGAUAACAGCGCCAUCCCCUUUUAGAGUCCUUAUCGACAAGGGGGUUUACGACCUCGAUGUUGGAUCAGGACACCCCAAUGGUGCAGCCGCCAUUAAAGGUUCGUUUGUUCAACGAUUAAAGUCCUACGU
Molecule: ribosomal RNA, 525 nt
Filed under: Timon pater
Lineage: Eukaryota; Metazoa; Chordata; Lepidosauria; Squamata; Lacertidae
Description: partial 16S ribosomal RNA
Rfam family: Bacterial large subunit ribosomal RNA
Source: RNAcentral